UACGGGGGGGGCAAGCGUUGUUCGGAAUUACUGGGCGUAAAGGGCGCGUAGGCGGCCUUCUAAGUCGGACGUGAAAUCCCUCGGCUUAACCGAGGAACUGCGUCCGAUACUGAAAGGCUUGAAUCCGGGAGAGGGAUGUGGAAUUCCAGGUGUAGCGGUGAAAUGCGCAGAUAUCAGGAAGAACACCCGUGGCGAAGGCGGCUCUCUGGGACGGUACUGACGCUGAGACGCGAAAGCGUGGGGAGCGAACAGG
Molecule: ribosomal RNA, 253 nt
Filed under: uncultured bacterium
Lineage: Bacteria
Description: partial 16S ribosomal RNA
Rfam family: Bacterial small subunit ribosomal RNA
Source: RNAcentral